Molecule: ribosomal RNA, 468 nt
Filed under: uncultured bacterium
Lineage: Bacteria
Description: partial 16S ribosomal RNA
Rfam family: Bacterial small subunit ribosomal RNA
Source: RNAcentral
GACGAACGCUGGCGGCGUGCUUAACACAUGCAAGUCGAACGGAAAGGCCCUGCUUUUGUGGGGUGCUCGAGUGGCGAACGGGUGAGUAACACGUGAGUAACCUGCCCUUGACUUUGGGAUAACUUCAGGAAACUGGGGCUAAUACCUGAUAGGAGCUCCUGCUGCAUGGUGGGGGUUGGAAAGUUUCGGCGGUUGGGGAUGGACUCGCGGCUUAUCAGCUUGUUGGUGGGGUAGUGGCUUACCAAGGCUUUGACGGGUAGCCGGCCUGAGAGGGUGACCGGCCACAUUGGGACUGAGAGACGGCCCAGACUCCUACGGGAGGCAGCAGUGGGGAAUAUUGCACAAUGGGCGGAAGCCUGAUGCAGAAACGCCGCGUGCGGGAUGAAGGCCUUCGGGUUGUAAACCGCAUUAGCCUGUGACGAAGCGUGAGUGACGGUAAUGGGUAAAGAAGCACCGGCUAACUACGUG